GAGCUUGGAGAGUGGAUGUAGGUGCAAGAUUGGCACCGAACCACUAUAAACGUUGAUUGUUUGUGGUGUGCUUACUUGCUCUCUUCUUAAAUUUUUUUACUUUUUUGCAUUCUUGCAUCUUAUUGCUAUACCUUGCUUAAAUCAUUCACUACAUAUAACUUGCUUAGUAUUACUUAAUUCUUGUGGUUCUAAAUUAAAUUUAAAAUUUUAAAAAUUCAAUUCACCCACCUCUUGGGUUGCAUAGCUGGCAACAGGAGUAAUUGCCUUAAUAGCUGGAUCACCGACCUGAUUCUUUCUUGGCCGUGUCUGCAUUACUGCCUUUGGGAAAGAUUUCUGGGGAUUUAAGCAUAUAUCAUUUUGCAACUCGCACCACCUUUAUUAGGGAUGGAGCUCAAGGAGUCACGGAAUGGCAUCUUCGAGAGAGAAGAGAUCCGGAGAUCGCUUCUAGCUCACCCGGGACCUGUCACAUAGCAAGUCAGGGUAAGCUUCGAAACACGCUUCGUAAGUUGUUGCACACGAUUCGAUCAGAUAAGAAUGUGAUGAAGGGAUGUAAAGUCCGUCGUUUCAGGACUGGCCAAGUAGCAUAAUUUGGCGAUUUGAUGUCUGGAUCUGCACCAUCGAUGGCCUAUAUAAAUGGGCCAUCUAUCCGGUAGAAUUUCUCGCUAAACUGUCAAUUGCUCUUUUGCUACUGUAGUCCUCAGAGAGAGGUUCUCUUUUAUUUGCCUGGUCAUCAUGAAGCCAUCACUAUUCGUCAUUAAGUUGGCCAUGAAGAAGAAGAUGAGCUUCUCCUAUGGAGACUCCUUAUCCAAUAGGGCGAGGACCACCCAGCUCGAAUUUUUUAUUUCUGACUCAUGGCAAUCCUUGGUGGGGACCGUUGGUCACGGCUAUAAGGCCAUAUGUUGCUGCGUUGGGGUCACUCCAGGCCCCUCCCUUAUCGGACUGGACCCUACCUCUCUAUGAAGGGUUGAUGAGGUUUAGAACGAACCCUUGUCUGCUCGGGGGUAGUCGGAGGUUCACUAAUACUAUAGUGGAGAUUCCCAUCGAGGCUAGGCUUCGAUACAUUGAGGAGUUUGUUCCCAGCUAUGCAACCUAAGGGCGGGGUGAGUUGGGUUCUUAAAAAAAAUUAAGUGAAGAAUGUAUCACAAACAUAAGAAAUAAGUAAUGAACAAUGUGAUAGGCAGUGACAAUAAUGUGAUAGGCAGUGACAAUAAUGAACAAUGUGCUAGAUAUUGAAAUAAGUAAGAAAUUAAUACAAGAGAGUAAAAAGAGAAAUCAAAAUACCACAAACAUAAGGGUUUAUAGUGGUUCAGUGCUAAUCUAGCACCUACAUCCACUCCCCAAGUUUCUACUUGAGAAUUCUAAUCAUCAAUCGUAUUCAACGAUUACAACAUCGAAUCCCAUCGAUCCUAAUUUUUCUCAAGCUAAGUACUUAUUUUUCGUUUACAAGCCAAGUUUAUACACUCCAAUUCUAAGUUCAGAUCAAUCUUUCCUUAAGUUUUGGAACACCUAAAAUUUGUACUCACAAAAAAAAAUAAGUUGAAGAAGUUAAACAAUAUCAAUCAAGCUAAGCUUCUUAAUGAGCAUAAUAAAAUAAUAAAUAUACUUUACAUAAAGUUGAAGAAGUCUUUAAGAAUACUUUCAAUUGGAAUAGAGAGUGGAAAGUACUUUGGAGAGGUGGUUGAGUUUGAAAUGAAUACUUCUUUAUCUUGGAGCUUUAAUCUCUUUUAAAUAGAUUUUUUCUUGAUUUUUCUUGAGUUUUUCCUCCUUUUGAUGCCUUUAUAGCUUUAAUUAAUGCUGAAGAACCUUUAAUAAGCAUUUAGAGCAAUUAGAGAGUGAUUAAUAGGUAUUUAAUGUGUCAAAAAUGAGCUCGAAAACUAGUCGUUACGGACGUUAAGACUUCAGGGGUCGACCUAUGGGUCAUCCCCUGGCACAGGGGCCGUUCCAUGAGUCACCUCUUAUGGUUAGGAUAGAAAUUGGACCUCUAUUUGGGACUGUGGCUCUAUAGGGGUCGACCCAUAAGUUGCCCCUAGCAUAGGAGUCGUCCCAUGGGUCAUCUCCUUUAGCAUGUCAAUCCCAAAUCAACGUACUAGCAUCCCUUUUUGAAGAGGGGAUGACCUAGAGAGUGCCCUCUCAAGUCCAAAAUGGAUUUUCUUUCAUUUUUGAUUUUUGAAACUUUCGAAAUCACCUCCAAAUAUUUUGAAGUCAUCUUGAAAGCUCUUGAGACUUUCGAAAAACAUUAUUUCCACUUAAUGAAUUUGCAACAUUGGCAUCCUCCAAGCAUCCAUAUAAAUUCAAAUUUUUUGAAAUAUGUAUUUAAGCUUUUCGAAAGACAAAUAAUCAUUAGUAUUCCUCUUAAAUAUUUUGUAAUUAUUAAAAUUAAUUUUUAGAACAACAAUCUCUCACUUUUUGAUAAUGACAAAAUAUUUGAGUAUAAGCAGAAUAAAGCAUAUAAAAUAUUGGGUAAAGUAAUGCCAUUAAACAUGUAUGACCAUAGGAUUAAGGCAUUUACAAAUGUAUUCAAUUGAUGUAUCUUUUCAAGGCAUGAGUAUCAAUAUAUAGUGUCAAGGCCAAGAGUUAGACAACAUGAUAUAUUAUUAGAGUAAAUGAUAGAGAAUAUAGACAUAGUAUAAACCCCACUUUCUACUAGGCAAUUUCUAUUUAGAAGAGUGGUCGGGGCUACGGUCCUAACAUGUAUUAGCUGAAAAUAAAAAAAAAAAUUGCCAACAAAGCAUACAUUUCUGCCAAACAAGCAUAUAUUUUUGCUCAUACCAUAAAUAAUAUAUUUUAUAUCUAUAUCUACUUUUUCUUUUUGGCAUCAUCAAUUUAGAUAAGAAAUACUCCAUAAUAUCUAUCUGAUACCACCCCCUUUUUGAUUAAAUAUAAGGCUUAAAUGAUAAGAUGAUCCAUAAUCAAGAAUAUAACACCAUGACACCAAGGGUCUUAUAGUAUUAAAUGCAACAUUACAUUACCAAAGUCACAUUUAAUACUCAUAAUGGAAUACACAUUAGACAAUGUUACAUUGUAAAUAGGGACACAUUUUAUUUACUACAUAAUGUUAGAGGAAAUACAUCAUUGAGUUCACAUAAACUAAAAGUACAUAAUUUUAGUCAAAUUUCACACACACACACACACACACACACAUAUAUAUAUAUAUAUAUAUAUAUAUAUAUAUAUAUAU
RNAcentral lists this long non-coding RNA (3178 nucleotides) under Elaeis guineensis (African oil palm). Its description in RNAcentral is "long non-coding RNA (EGUI_LNC075678)". The record is from RNAcentral. Lineage: Eukaryota; Viridiplantae; Streptophyta; Magnoliopsida; Arecales; Arecaceae.